RNAcentral lists this ribosomal RNA (446 nucleotides) under uncultured bacterium. RNAcentral's name for it is "partial 16S ribosomal RNA". It matches the Rfam family "Bacterial small subunit ribosomal RNA", at positions 338 to 795 of the family's 1533-position model. The record is from RNAcentral.
CCUACGGGUGGCAGCAGUCGAGAAUCAUUCACAAUGGGGGAAACCCUGAUGGUGCGACGCCGCGUGGGGGAAUGAAGAUCUUCGGAUGGUAAACCCCUGUCAUGUGGGAGCAAAUGACGAAGAUAGUACCAGAAGAGGCAGAGACGGAUGACUCAGCGCCAGCAGCCGCGGUAAUAGCGAGGGCGCAAGCGGUGUUCGGAGUUACUGGGUGUAAAGCGUGCGUAGGCGGAUGCGUAGGUCGUGUGUGAAAGGCGCGGGCUCAACCCGCGGACGGCACAUGAUACUGCGAGACUAGAGUGAUGGAGAGGGAAGCGGAAUUCUCGGUGUAGCAGUGAAAUGCGUAGAUAUCGAGAGGAACACUCGUGGCGAAGGCGGGUUCCUGGACAUUAACUGACGCUGAGGCACGAAGGCGUGGGGAGCGAAAGGGAUUAGAUACCCCAGUAGUC